This is a non-coding RNA of Cavia porcellus (domestic guinea pig), 69 nucleotides long. NCBI's taxonomy places the organism in Eukaryota, Metazoa, Chordata, Mammalia, Rodentia, Caviidae. The record is from Ensembl.
AAGAGGGUCAUAAAGGUUAUGGGGUUGGCUUGAAACCAGCUUUAGGGGGUUCAAUUCCUUCCUCUCUUG